RNAcentral lists this ribosomal RNA (520 nucleotides) under uncultured bacterium. Its description in RNAcentral is "partial 16S ribosomal RNA". It matches the Rfam family "Bacterial small subunit ribosomal RNA", at positions 355 to 864 of the family's 1533-position model. The record is from RNAcentral.
UGGGGAAUAUUGCACAAUGGGCGCAAGCCUGAUGCAGCCAUGCCGCGUGUGUGAAGAAGGCCUUCGGGUUGUAAAGCACUUUCAGCGAGGAGGAAGGUGGUGAACUUAAUACGUUCAUCAAUUGACGUUACUCGCAGAAGAAGCACCGGCUAACUCCGUGCCAGCAGCCGCGGUAAUACGGAGGGUGCAAGCGUUAAUCGGAAUUACUGGGCGUAAAGCGCACGCAGGCGGUUUGUUAAGUCAGAUGUGAAAUCCCCGGGCUCAACCUGGGAACUGCAUUUGAAACUGGCAAGCUAGAGUCUCGUAGAGGGGGGUAGAAUUCCAGGUGUAGCGGUGAAAUGCGGUAGAGAUCUGGAGGAAUACCGGUGGCGAAGGCGGCCCCCCUGGACGAAGACUGACGCUCAGGUGCGAAAGCGUGGGGCAGCAAACAGGAUUAGAUACCCUGGUAGUCCACGCUGUAAACGAUGUCGAUUUGGAGGUUGUGCCCUUGAGGCGUGGCUUCCGGAGCUAACGCGUUAAA